Molecule: transfer RNA, 72 nt
Filed under: Candidatus Falkowbacteria bacterium RIFCSPHIGHO2_02_FULL_42_9
Lineage: Bacteria; Candidatus Falkowiibacteriota
Description: tRNA-Arg
Rfam family: tRNA
About the family: Transfer RNA (tRNA) molecules are approximately 80 nucleotides in length. Their secondary structure includes four short double-helical elements and three loops (D, anti-codon, and T loops). Further hydrogen bonds mediate the characteristic L-shaped molecular structure. tRNAs have two regions of fundamental functional importance: the anti-codon, which is responsible for specific mRNA codon recognition, and the 3' end, to which the tRNAs corresponding amino acid is attached (by aminoacyl-tRNA synthetases). tRNAs cope with the degeneracy of the genetic code in two manners: having more than one tRNA (with a specific anti-codon) for a particular amino acid; and 'wobble' base-pairing, i.e. permitting non-standard base-pairing at the 3rd anti-codon position.
Source: RNAcentral
GACUCCAUAGCUCAAAGGAUAGAGCGUAAGCCUCCGGAGCUUAAAAUGCAGGUUCGAUUCCUGCUGGGGUCA